AAGUGAGGACUAAUCCCAUCCCUGGGCCUGCUCUCUGUUCCCUUCCUGCAUUAGAGAUUGGCUAUAAGGAGAAGGCUGACGGCUGCAGCAUGAAGCGCAUUAUUACCUUGUGAUUCCAUGACCCUCCUCUAUGCAUCCCUAACUCUCGAAAGCUGAUUCAGCUUUCAGCUAGUGCUCUGGUGAGUCCUCUGCUGCAACAGAAGCUCCUAACUGCCAGUUUCAGGAGGUGCAGCUCCCAGAGACCUGCUCAGAGCCUUGUGCUUCGGGAAAAGAGCUUUGGAGGGACCAUCUUGAUCCCACACGGAGCCAGCUCCCUCCAGCCUUGCUCUCCCAAAUCCUUUCUGUGGCAACAGCAGGAUUUGGAGCUCGCUGAUAUCUGCCCUUUGCAGCCGGGAGGUGCCCGGAUCCUGAACCUGUCCAUGGUCUGAAAAUUGGAUGUGCUGCAGUCGAUUUCCCAUAAAGCACAGGAAGAGAGGAAGUCUUACCACUGACUUUGAAAAUCCCAGGAUCAGGUCCUGGCUAAGUCAUUAGAAACCUUUAGCCAAUCAUCCUUAACUACAUCAAAUCUAAUUGUUCCCCAUAUCCUCUAAGAGGCUGCUCUGAUGGCUCACCAGACACUGCUGGUUUCCUGGAAACCCUAUUAGCUUCUCAAACAAGGCAAUCCUGAGGACUCAGUCCUGCAAACCUUUUGUGCAAAUAUUAAAUAACAGCGAAUAAUUAGCAAGAAUAAUCCUUUUUGCUUGACCCUCUUCUGUAAUAAGGACCUUUGUCGGCGAAUGCAAACGUUAUUUUGAGGAGCAAUUCAUAAUCUAGAGCUGCUGAACACAUCAGCCUAAAUACACUAAUACUCUAAUAUCCGUAUUUGUACAGGACUUAAGACAGACAAAACCAGGCACGUUCUCUGUCCCAAAGACCUGAGAGCAUUCGCCAGUCAAGGAUAGGAAGAGGAGGUGGCAAAAGAAGUGGCAAAGAGGGGACCCACUUCUGCCUUUGUCACAUCUUUAAGUGUCUCAGGUGCUGUGAUCAGACCAGCUGGAUUCUGUCCAUGGAAUUUUUUUCUGCGCAUCCUUUUCUUUCACCUGUUUUUCUUUUCUUUCUUUCUUUAUUUAUUUCUGAGAGGGGAGAAAAGAAAGGACAAGCAAGCCAACAGGCAGAUAAUUGUUCUGUGCUGACAGUUUGUCAAGUGAUGGAAGCACAAUUUUAGUCAAGAGAUCUGCGUUACAGCGGCGAGUGAGCAGAAGUCUCUUCCUUUCCUCCCAGAUGGCAUUGACAUAUAGCCUGGAGGGGCUAUCAGGAUACAAAGCUAAAGAUGGUUAAAGACAUUAAAAACUGUACAAUGUGAGCACCAUCUACACCAGGACCAUCAUCUAGGAGGAAGAUUCAUCCUGACAUAUCAGGCAGAAGUCAGAUCUUCUAUUGGUGUUAUAUAAAGUUGUUGAGCCAAAGGUAUUUCUGAGAUAGACAAAAAAAUAUAUAUUCCUGCUGCUAACCAUGUCUUUUCCAGUAGGUCUUUAUUGACUCUUGAAAAGCUAUGACCAAUAAAUGUAAUGAUCUGCCUUCCCUUUUCUUUCUGGGUGAACAAUAUCUUCUGCAGGGUGUUUAUCACUGCGGGCAAUGAGUGGCUUGAGCCAUUCCUGUCUAACUCCACUUCCCAGCAAGACAUUGAAUGCAUUCUCUUCAUCACACUGUUUCCCAUAUCCUGCCAGGGCUUUUGUUAAUGAUAAAUAUUGCACUCAGGAUAAGAUUAUAAAUCUUGCCAUAGGAUGGAGGGAAUUUGAAUUCUGCAUUCCUUGGUUUUGGUGUUGUGCAACUUGCUUAAUUAAUUUGCACAGAGAAUGGGCUUAAUAACAUUGCAUUUUUCAAUAAGCAAGCAGUGCAGCUGGAGGGACAGAGAACCACAAAGAGAGCAGUUCACCUGCAGGAAAAUAUCCUCUACUUCCCCCAUCAGCGAUAAAAAUGUCAAUACAUUGACACAACCCCUAAUUAAAAAUGACUGCCAUAAUCACGCGUAUCAUAGCCGUAGGACAUUGGUUUGGAUGAAAUACAAACAGCGGGAUGUGCUGCACAUGUUUUCCAAAGGAAGAAAGGCUUGGAUGGUGGGAUCUCCUGCACACCCAAGCGAGGGCAGAGGAAGGAUCCCUCAGCUCCUACGCGCGGGCUGAUCCUUCACCGCCCGUCCCACUGAGCUGAACGACGGUGACUGCCUGCACGGCCUGAGCUGUUUGCAGCCAGGAGAUGAACCAUGUCCACGUGCCCUUUUUUGGCUGAGGUUGGAGCAGACGUCCUUCCCUUUGUGUCUGACGUGGCCAGACAGCAGGCGCGUGGCCGGGCGUAGCAGCCUGGCGGCUUCAUGCAUUACCUCAGCUCCUGCAGCAGUGCUGAGCUGUAGUAGCACCCAGCCUGGGGUGUGGAUACGUCCUCCUUUCCCUCACAAGGAACAAAAUCCCUCAUUUUGGGGUAUUCAGCAAGCAGAGGGACAACAGAAAACAGCUUGUUGCUGCUCCAUGUAAAUGAUAUUAUGCCAUUGGCCUGCCUGGAUUGGAUAUGGAUAUUGCAUAUUGGAUAUUUAAUGGUUGGACUUGGUGAUCUUAGGGGUCUUUUGCAACCUGAAUGAUUCCAAGAGAGACUCCCUAUUUUAAUGUUCAACUGCUCUUGCCUUAUGCUUGUGAUACCCAUGUGCACCCAGGGAUCUCAGCUGGCUCUAAGCACUUGUCUUUUAUUCUACAACACCAGAAAUAAGCACUGAGAUGCUUCAUGUAGCCCUGGGGCGGAAAGGUGGGAUUGUACCACAGAGCUGGGGCUGAGGAGAAGCAGCAUCUGCUACAAGGGGCUGAGUAAGAGAGUGAUGUGGCACAGCAUGGCCAGUCUUUCUCUUGAAGAAACUCAACACCAAGAGCUUCCUUCCCAAUUCCACAUGGGAUAGUUACUUCACAUCUCUUAGCAUCUCUGAUAAAAUCUGCCUCCAGCUCCUUCUGCCCUCCCAUCUUAUAAAUCAUUUUGUGCAAUGCCUGACAGAUGAUUUCUGCUUUCUCCUGCGCAGAGGAACAGGAGUGGGGGAAGAGUGAGAGAGGGAGAGAUUUGAAACUGUUUCCCAAAUAUUCCAGUGUCCAGGCAUGAGCUGAUAUCCUGCCAGGAGUAAGAGGUGGCCCUGUGCAGCACUCACUCAGGAACAAAUAAUGAAUGAUCCUGAGCCUCUACUCAGCACAGGGAAAGGAAUUAAUUUCUGUCCCCCUUUUGUGGAUCACCUGGAAAGUACAGGCAUAAUCCAUCUUUCCAUGGUGAGGAUCAUGGCCCUGUGAGCCAAAAAAAGCCUGUGAAGGACAAAACCUGGGACAACCCUUUGAGCUGGGACAUCCGUCAGUCACAGAAAGAAGCAGGAAAAGAAAGAAAGAAAAAAAAGAGAAAAACACCAAAUGACUUUAACUGAUGUAUCUUCAUCUCCUGAGAGGGAAGCUGGAGCUAAGCCUGGUGUAACAUCCUCACUUCAUUUUGGGGAUGAGCAUUUCAUUCCCAGCUGCCUUGGAAGUGCUAAAAACUUCACAAUAAUACCUUUUCAUCAUUUAAAAACUUCCAUUGUGAUCUCCAGCCUGCAGUGUCACACCAGAAGAUUUAAUGUGGGGUGUGAGUAGAUUUUCAAGCAUAGACAGAUUGAUUCAUGAGUGAAUUAAUCUGAUGCAUCUUUUAAAUGGAAAACUGACAUAAUUUUCCAUCAGAGACCUGCUAAUAAAGCACAUUUACUUGGUGAAUCCAUUUUUUCCUGUACUAAGUGCACUAUAUAAGGCAUAAAAAUACCAAAUCAAUAACCAAAGAGCAUAUAAAAAUGAGACUGACAGAUCAGAAACCAUGGGUGAGACAUCCUCUCCUUGUCUCCUUGGGGGACUCUGCUUUUGCUGCUGAAAACCACAUUCCCACAGUCUUCCCAGGACAGCAAGGCUGCAAAACCCAGGUGUCCUUGCAAGUCCCAGAGGGGACUGAGAGCACUGAGCCACCUGCUUCCAGGGGUCUGGUGGCAUCAGUUCUCCUAUAACCCUCCCUAUUUUUAGAAGUAGAUAGUUUGAGGGGGUUGGGUUUUUCUUUUUUAUUUAGUUUUUUUUAUAUUAUUAUUGUUGUUGCAGAAGAAACUGGGUAGAAGGAAUGUGUUUAAAAGACAAAGACAUCUUCCAGUAUAUUUGUGCAGGGAGCCUGCCUAGGGAAUGUGCACAAGCUCUCCUUUUUUAUUCUUUAGCUGGAGUACAGCAGCAUGAUUUCAAAGGAAAUGCCUGCACAGCCUUCCCUCUGCAAACACUGCAACCAUCAUUCCAUCAGUGCAAUUCUCCCGUGUGAGCUAAUUUAACAAGCGGUUGCUUUGCAGGCUGUGGAGAAUUGCCUCUUACCUAAUAAUUCUGCUAAUUUGCUUAACUUUCCCAGAUUGCAAAUGGCCCUGCUCUGAACAGGCAGCUCUCUAAAUGAACCCCCAGACAAGCUCCUGACAAGAGCCAUAGGAAAGGUGGAUGGCUCAGGAGGUUAAAGCUCACAGUCUUUUAUUUUGACCUUUGGGCUAGCAUUCAAAUUUGCUUGUUGGGAAAACUGCAUUCAGCAUGUAUUUUCUUCAGGGAUUUACGAUACCCUUUUGCUUGUAAUUAUUCUCAGUUGAUGUCUUCCAUAAAUUAAAGAGGCUUGUAUUAGCAAGCUCCAAUCCUCUCAAUUAUCUUGCAAAAGUCUCCUUUUUUGUGGCUGGGAGCUACCCCACCAGGAUUGCCAUCCCUGCAAAGCUCCUGGUCCAUGGCUACAGGCAGAGAAAUAAGGAAUGUACAUGGGUAAUACUAAUGUCUGAGCAAUCCCAGAAAGAAAUGAAAACUGCAGUAAAGGUAAAUGUCAGACUAUUUAAAGACAAUGUUAACUAUUGAUUUUUUAAAGGAGACUACCUCUUCAAAGGAUGGCAAGCAUGACUUCAGAUACAGACGAAGCAACCCAGACGGAUGGCGGAGAGAGGGAGGCAAGGGAUGUGGGAAGAGAGAGGUUUUCCCAGAGAGCAAAAUGAACCCUUGAUGAAGCCUCUGGGAUUAAAGAGGUGGCUUAGUUCUGUCACAGCAUCCACCCUUCAACCCGUUUAAGCACCAUGCCUUUUCCAACAAAUGAAGGGCAAAGAAGCACUGAUAAGCAAUAAAGAGAUAAGCAGCAAAGUACUCGUUUCACUGGUGUUUCCCAAUGAAAAAUGAACCCUCGAGCACACCCAGUGAUUUGUUGUCUAAGUAGCAAAGCUCACCCAAGUUCCUGAUUUUGCUUCCAGCAGAGAUGCUCAUUGCUCAUUCUCACACCCCGGAGCAGCUCGGAGUCAUUAUCCAGCACUGGCGCUUCCCUCCCGCACCUGUGAGCUCAUACACGGACAUAUCCAUUUUCUAUAUGCAUGUAUCCAUCCUUGCCUCAUGGCCCAUGCUGUGAUAUCCCUGCCAAAGCAUCCCAGAGCAGAUAUUCCUGGCUGCGGGCGCCUGCAUCUGCAGGGAAUUGUUCCUUUCAAGCUGCAGUGCAGAGACAAUGCUGUACAUGGUGCUUUGGGAAAAUAGCACGAUAAGAAUUUAGUUAGGGGAGUUAAAGGUCUUCCAAGGCUGCUUUUCAAAAAGGAUAACUUCUUAUCUCAAUGGGUGUUUCGGAACAGGAGGCAUGAAGGAUCUAAUCCAGUGAAGUGUAAUGUCAGAGAGGGCAAAUUAAGUUUGCAUUUGGAUACAAACUCUCUUUUAGAGGCAAAUUUGGCUGUUGAAAGGAAAAUUAUUAUACACAUCUACACAGCAAAGGAAAUAGGUGGUGCUGGGGGGCCACUCCUCACAUCAGAAAGCUUUGACAUGGGUACAGGAGAGGAUCAGACCCUCCCAGUGCGCUCUGUUUCUCCUCUAGGAGUCAUUUGGAUGCUUCAGCUUGAAGAUCCCACAGCUCUUAUAACCCCAGCUCUCCUUCUUUGGCAGCCAGCUCAAGGUGCAGAAAACCCCAGUUCCUGGCAUCUCCUAAACACAGCAGCACAACAUGGUAUUACUGCCUGGGGUAGCUUUUGGUUUAGAUGAAUUAUUUCAAUAAGAAGGUCUUCAGACAGUGUUAAAUGACAGAUAAUAUAAUUUUUGAAUGUGAGGUUCAUCUGAAUUUUAUUUUCUGAUGUUUUGACUCAUUGACUUGAUGUCUCUCUAUUAUGCACACACCUCUGGAGAUGUUGCUGGCAAUGAUUAUGCAUAGCAUUGAGUUAGUGAAUAAAACCACUCCAGGAACUGCUUUACAGAUCACAGUAUUGUUUUCCCUAUAAUUGUCCCACAAAUGGUGGAAGUUAUAUGGAGAGAGCAACAUGCUCUGACAGACUGCAUAUUUUUGCAGUGUGCAUCAAAUCUCACUUUGGCCUCUGAGACUUAUUUCUGAUGGUUCUUGGGGAUUUAACUUUAAGACCAAUGUAUUUUAGUAUCCAUAUACGCUCCACUGUUCAUGUCAUCCGGCAGCAACUGAGGAUGAGCUGUCUCCUUAAUAUGGAUGAGACACCAAUUUAUCUAAGUUAUCACCUCCCAAUCUCUCAUACAUCUCUGCUGUUAACUGCUGUGUUUCUGACAUCCAUACCUAAACUCUCUACAACUUCUCCUUCAACUGAAACCAUAAGUAAUUUUUUGGCUGGAAGUUCUUGAUAUGUAUCUAAUGGCUUCUUCAUCUCCCGGCUUCAGUUCAACCACGAGGUGAUGGAAUCAGGCUCUGGACACUGCAUUUUACACCCACAACUCUGCAUAGAUCCAGGCAGCACACUAAAUCAGGGUGUCUUUCCAGCAUCUGAAAAUACAUGACUGAAUUAACAUGUGCCAGGCUCAUGUUGAACAGCACUGCAGCCCCGAUGUGCACAGCCCCAGCAUUUGACUGCAGAGUCAGCAAUACUCUCCCCCUUCCUGAUGCAUUCCCAAGCCAGCAAAACUUAGCCCUACUCCUGGUAUUCUCUUUAUAGAAGGUCCCAGUGGUAUUAUGUAUCAAAUAAAGGUCUCAUUACUUA
Parus major (Great Tit) is the source of this 6988-nucleotide long non-coding RNA. RefSeq lists it as uncharacterized. NCBI's taxonomy places the organism in Eukaryota, Metazoa, Chordata, Aves, Passeriformes, Paridae. The record is from RefSeq and is a predicted model, not a curated record. The transcript has 3 exons.